ACCUUUCUGAAUCCGUGCAGAGAUUUCGUCAAGCACUAACCCACUAGGACCGGUCAGGCUUCCAAGAUAAGUGAAGUU
Non-coding RNA from Schistosoma curassoni, 78 nucleotides. The record is from Rfam. Lineage: Eukaryota; Metazoa; Platyhelminthes; Trematoda; Strigeidida; Schistosomatidae.